This 596-nucleotide ribosomal RNA is filed under the name uncultured bacterium. RNAcentral describes it as "bacterial SSU rRNA". It matches the Rfam family "Bacterial small subunit ribosomal RNA", at positions 338 to 943 of the family's 1533-position model. The record is from RNAcentral.
CCUACGGGAGGCAGCAGUGGGGAAUAUUGGGCAAUGGAGGAAACCCUGACCCAGCGACGCCGCGUGCGGGAUGAAGGCCUUCGGGUUGUAAACCGCUUUCAGUAGGGAAGAAGCGAAAGUGACGGUACCUACAAAAGAAGCACCGGCUAACUAUGUGCCAGCAGCCGCGGUAAUACAUAGGGUGCAAGCGUUGUCCGGAAUUAUUGGGCGUAAAGAGCUCGUAGGUCGUUUGUUACGUCGGAUGUGAAAACCUGAGGCUCAACCUCAGGCCUGCAUUCGAUACGGGCAAACUAGAGUUUGGUAGGGGAGACUGGAAUUCCUGGUGUAGCGGUGGAAUGCGCAGAUAUCAGGAGGAACACCAAUGGCGAAGGCAGGUCUCUGGGCCAAUACUGACACUGAGGAGCGAAAGUCUGGGGAGCGAACAGGAUUAGAUACCCUGGUAGUCCAGACCGUAAACGGUGGGCACUAGUUGUGGGAACCUUCCACGGUUUCUGCGACGCAGCUAACGCAUUAAGUGCCCCGCCUGGGGAGUACGAUCGCAAGAUUAAAACUCAAAUGAAUUGACCGGNUGAGACGNGCGAGCGACACGAGGAGAG